RNAcentral lists this ribosomal RNA (250 nucleotides) under uncultured bacterium. RNAcentral describes it as "partial 16S ribosomal RNA". It matches the Rfam family "Bacterial small subunit ribosomal RNA", at positions 525 to 775 of the family's 1533-position model. The record is from RNAcentral.
ACGUAGGUGGCAAGCGUUGUCCGGAAUUACUGGGUGUAAAGGGAGCGUAGGCGGGAGUGCAAGUUGAAUGUGAAAACUAUGGGCUCAACCCAUAGUUGCGUUCAAAACUGCAUUUCUUGAGUGAAGUAGAGGUAAGCGGAAUUCCUAGUGUAGCGGUGAAAUGCGUAAAUAUUAGGAGGAACACCAGUGGCGAAGGCGGCUUACUGGGCUUUAACUGACGCUGAGGCUCGAAAGCGUGGGUAGCAAACAG